This 207-nucleotide ribosomal RNA is filed under the name uncultured bacterium. Its description in RNAcentral is "partial 16S ribosomal RNA". It matches the Rfam family "Bacterial small subunit ribosomal RNA", at positions 568 to 774 of the family's 1533-position model. The record is from RNAcentral.
CAUGUAGGCGGAUUAAUAAGUUUGAAGUGAAAUCCUAUAGCUUAACUAUAGAACUGCUUUGAAAACUGUUAAUCUAGAAUGUGGGAGAGGUAGAUGGAAUUUCUGGUGUAGGGGUAAAAUCCGUAGAGAUCAGAAGGAAUACCGAUUGCGAAGGCGAUCUACUGGAACAUUAUUGACGCUGAGGUGCGAAAGCGUGGGGAGCAAACA